RNAcentral lists this small nuclear RNA (18 nucleotides) under Arabidopsis thaliana (thale cress). Its description in RNAcentral is "snRNA_08143". The record is from RNAcentral. Lineage: Eukaryota; Viridiplantae; Streptophyta; Magnoliopsida; Brassicales; Brassicaceae.
CGAGGCGCUGUCUACGAG